GACGAACGCUGGCGGCGUGCCUAAUACAUGCAAGUAGAACGCACGGUUUAUACCGUAGCUUUCUACACCAUAGCCUGUGAGUUGCGAAUGGGUAAUUAACGCGUAUGUAACCUGCCUGGUAGCGGGGGAUAACUAUUGGAAACGAUAUCUAAUACCUCAUAAUAUUAAUUAUUCCAUGAUAAUUAAUUGAAAGGUGCAAUUGCACCACUACCAUAUGGACCUGCGUUGUAUUAGCUAGUAGGGGAGGUAACGGCUCACCUAGGGGAAGACACAUAGCCGGCCUGAGGAGGUGGUCGGGCAAAAUGGGAAUGGGACCAGGGCCAAGACUCUUAGGGGGGGAGCAGGAGGGGAUUUUCGGCAAUGGACGGAAGUCUGGACGAGCAAAGCCGGGUGAGGGAAGGAGGUUCUCGGAUCGGAAAGCUCUGUUGUAAGAGAAGAAAGGGUGUGAGAGUGGAAAGUUCACACUGUGACGGUAUCUUACCAGAAAGGGACGGCUAACUACGUG
Molecule: ribosomal RNA, 505 nt
Filed under: uncultured bacterium
Lineage: Bacteria
Description: partial 16S ribosomal RNA
Rfam family: Bacterial small subunit ribosomal RNA
Source: RNAcentral